GAUCAUGGCUCAGGAUGAACGCUAGCUACAGGCUUAACACAUGCAAGUCGAGGGGCAGCAUGACCUAGCAAUAGGUUGAUGGCGACCGGCGCACGGGUGAGUAACACGUAUCCAACCUACCGGUUAUUCCGGGAUAGCCUUUCGAAAGAAAGAUUAAUACCGGAUAGUAUAACGAGAAGGCAUCUUCUUGUUAUUAAAGAAUUUCGAUAACCGAUGGGGAUGCGUUCCAUUAGUUUGUUGGCGGGGUAACGGCCCACCG
RNAcentral lists this ribosomal RNA (259 nucleotides) under uncultured bacterium. RNAcentral describes it as "partial 16S ribosomal RNA". It matches the Rfam family "Bacterial small subunit ribosomal RNA", at positions 15 to 270 of the family's 1533-position model. The record is from RNAcentral.